GUAUAAUGAUGAAACCCAUGCGUGUCAUCUGAUUCUGGUCAGCCCUCCUGUGCUGUUGCUCUGGGUGGCGUUUUGCUAGCCUGAGUCUUCAGCACUGAAGGAGUCCAGAGGCAUGAUCAGACAACACUGCUCUGAAUGC
This is a small nucleolar RNA of Larimichthys crocea (large yellow croaker), 139 nucleotides long. Ensembl annotates it as small nucleolar RNA, C/D box 10. Its record names the gene SNORD10. The record is from Ensembl. NCBI's taxonomy places the organism in Eukaryota, Metazoa, Chordata, Actinopteri, Sciaenidae.